RNAcentral lists this ribosomal RNA (253 nucleotides) under uncultured bacterium. RNAcentral describes it as "partial 16S ribosomal RNA". It matches the Rfam family "Bacterial small subunit ribosomal RNA", at positions 524 to 776 of the family's 1533-position model. The record is from RNAcentral.
UACGGGGGGGGCAAGCGUUGUUCGGAAUUACUGGGCGUAAAGGGCUCGUAGGUGGCCAACUAAGUCGGACGUGAAAUCCCUCGGCUUAACCGGGGAACUGCGUCCGAUACUGGUUGGCUUGAGUUUGGGAGAGGGAGAUGGAAUUCCGCGUGUAGCAGUGAAAUGCGUAGAUAUGCGGAGGAACACCGAUGGCGAAGGCAAUCCCCUGGGCCUGCACUGACGCUCAUGCACGAAAGCGUGGGGAGCAAACAGG